GACGAACGCUGGCGGCGUGCCUAAUACAUGCAAGUAGAACGCACAGUUUAUACCGUAGCUUGCUACACCAUAGACUGUGAGUUGCGAACGGGUGAGUAACGCGUAGGUAACCUGCCUGGUAGCGGGGGAUAACUAUUGGAAACGAUAGCUAAUACCGCAUAAUAUUGAUUAUUGCAUGAUAAUUAAUUGAAAGGUGCAAUUGCACCACUACCAGAUGGACCUGCGUUGUAUUAGCUAGUAGGUGAGGUAACGGCUCACCUAGGCGACGAUACAUAGCCGACCUGGGGGGGUGAUCGGCCAAACUGGGACUGGGACACGGGCCAGACUCCUACGGGGGGGAGCAGUAGGGAAUCUUCGGCAAUGGAGGAAAGUCUGACCGAGCAAAGCCGCGUGAGUGAAGAAGGUUUUCGGAUCGUAAAGCUCUGUUGUAAGAGAAGGACGGGUGUGAGAGUGGAAAGUUCACACUGUGACGGUAUCUUACCAGAAAGGGACGGCUAACUACGUG
This 505-nucleotide ribosomal RNA is filed under the name uncultured bacterium. Its description in RNAcentral is "partial 16S ribosomal RNA". It matches the Rfam family "Bacterial small subunit ribosomal RNA", at positions 28 to 507 of the family's 1533-position model. The record is from RNAcentral.